UGAAUACGAGACGCUAAGGCGUCGAAGUAGUGUAUGUCAUACUUCCAAGAAAAGCUUGCACUGUCAUAGAUAAAAAACGCCUGUACCAUAACCGACACAGGUGGGUAGGUAGAGUAUACUAAGGGGCGCGAGAUAACUCUCUCUAAGGAACUCGGCAAAAUAACUCCGUAACUUCGGGAGAAGGAGUGCCUUAUUCUUAAGGUUGCAAUAACAAGAUCCAAGCAACUGUUUAUCAAAAACACGGGUCUCCGCUAAGUCGUAAGACGAUUUAUGGGGGCUGACGCCUGCCCAGUGCCAGAAGGUUAAAGAAGUUGGUUAGCAAUUGCGAAGCUGAUAACUGAAGCCCUGGUGAACGGCGGCCGUAACUAUAACGGUCCUAAGGUAGCGAAAUUCCUUGUCGGGUAAGUUCCGACCCGCACGAAAGGCGUAAUGAUUUGGAUACUGUCUCGGAGAGGGGCUCGGUGAAAUAGACUUGUCUGUGAAGAUGCGGACUACCUGCACCAGGACAGAAAGACCCUAUGAAGCUUUACUGUAACUUGAAAUUGAAAUUGGACUUUAUUCGCGCAGUAUAGGUGGGAGGCGUUGAUUAUAAUCUUGUGGGAUUAUUGGAGCCAUCAGUGAGAUACCACUCUUGUAAUGUUAGAUUUCUAACUUUGAAUCAUUAUCUGGUCAAAGAACAGUUUCAGGCGGGCAGUUUGACUGGGGCGGUCGCCUCCCAAACGGUAACGGAGGCGUACAAAGGUUUCCUCUGAACGGUUAGAAAUCGUAUCUAGAGUGUAAAGGCAUAAGGAAGCUUGACUGUGAGACCUACAAGUCGAGCAGGGACGAAAGUCGGUCUUAGUGAUCUGACGGUACUGAGUGGAAAGGCCGUCACUCAACGGAUAAAAGUUACUCUAAGGAUAACAGGCUGAUCUCCCCCAAGAGUUCACAUCGACGGAGAGGUUUGGCACCUCGAUGUCGGCUCAUCGCAUCCUGGGGCGGUAGUACGUCCCAAGGGUUGGGCUGUUCGCCCAUGAAAGCGGUACGCGAGCUGGGUUCAGAACGUCGUGAGACAGUUCGGUCCAUAUCCGGUGUAGGCGUUAGAAUAUUGAGAGGAGCCUUCUUUAGUACGAGAGGACCGAGAAGGACAUACCUCUGGUGUACCAGUUAUCGUGCCAACGGUAAACGCUGGGUAGCUAUGUAUGGAGUGGAUAACCGCUGAAAGCAUCUAAGUGGGAAGCCCACCUCAAGAUAAGUAUUCUCAUC
RNAcentral lists this ribosomal RNA (1245 nucleotides) under metagenome. Its description in RNAcentral is "bacterial LSU rRNA". It matches the Rfam family "Bacterial large subunit ribosomal RNA", at positions 1564 to 2818 of the family's 2925-position model. The record is from RNAcentral.